This 491-nucleotide long non-coding RNA is filed under the name Rhinopithecus bieti (black snub-nosed monkey). RNAcentral describes it as "lncRNA (ENSRBIG00000046674.1)". Lineage: Eukaryota; Metazoa; Chordata; Mammalia; Primates; Cercopithecidae. The record is from RNAcentral.
UUCACACUGGUUCUUCCACUUCAGCUGGAGGUUAGGAUGAGUGCUCUCAAGGGUCUCCUCAAACUGGGAGAUCAUCUGGUUUUAUUCACGUGAAACUUUUCAUUUUGCAGAUUCCCCUUAACCACUUUGUGAUGGCUAACUGUUUGGACUGGAUGUAAAACAGGAUUCUACCCAACAAUUAGAAACAUGGAGAGAGCUACAAUGUACAUCUGACAAGCAGUUCAUCUCUAGACAUAUUAUAGACUUCAAAUUAAGAGCCUAACUUCUUAAGUUUGAGCUCUUCAUGUUUAAGUUUAUCAUCGUAGACACACAGAGGAAGCAAAUCUCGAUUCACUCCUAUGGAGUGAGCAUCACUUUUAUCUUCAUUUUACAGCUGGGGAGUCAGAGACAGAUUUGUCUGAUCCCAUACUUUCAGGAAGGUAAGGAGCCAGGAUUUGGAAAGCGGCAGCUAUGGUGUUGCCAGUCCAUUUUCCUAAGUACUAUGUUCCUUA